AGAAAUGACUGCUAAUACCGCAUAUGCCUUAGUAUCGCAUGAUACAAAAGGGAAAGGAGCAAUCCGCUGAUAGAUGGGCUUGCGUCUGAUUAGCUAGUUGGUGGGGUAAAGGCCUACCAAGGCGACGAUCAGUAGCCGGACUGAGAGGUUGAACGGCCACAUUGGGACUGAGAUACGGCCCAGACUCCUACGGGAGGCAGCAGUCGGGAAUAUUGCGCAAUGGAGGAAACUCUGACGCAGUGACGCCGCGUGCAGGAAGAAGGUUUUCGGAUUGUAAACUGCUUUAGACAGGUUUUAAACAAGACAGUACCUGUAGAAUAAGCUCCGGCUAACUACGUGCCAGCAGCCGCGGUAAUACGUAGGGAGCAAGCGUUAUCCGGAUUUAUUGGGUGUAAAGGGUGCGUAGACGGGAAGGCAAGUUGGUUGUGAAAUCCCUCGGCUUAACUGAGGAACUGCAACCAAAACUAUCUUUCUUGAGUGCUGGAGAGGAAAGUGGAAUUCCUAGUGUAGCGGUGAAAUGCGUAGAUAUUAGGAGGAACACCAGUGGCGAAAGCGACUUUCUGGACAGUAACUGACGUUGAGGCACGAAAGUGUGGGGAGCAAACAGGAUUAGAUACCCUGGUAGUCCACACCGUANACGAUGAAUACUCGCUGUUUGCGAUAUACAGUAAGCGGCCAAGCGAAAGCAUUAAGUAUUCCACCUGGGGAGUACGCCGGCAACGGUGAAACUCAAAGGAAUUGA
RNAcentral lists this ribosomal RNA (742 nucleotides) under uncultured bacterium. RNAcentral describes it as "bacterial SSU rRNA". It matches the Rfam family "Bacterial small subunit ribosomal RNA", at positions 152 to 913 of the family's 1533-position model. The record is from RNAcentral.